RNAcentral lists this ribosomal RNA (253 nucleotides) under uncultured bacterium. RNAcentral's name for it is "partial 16S ribosomal RNA". It matches the Rfam family "Bacterial small subunit ribosomal RNA", at positions 524 to 776 of the family's 1533-position model. The record is from RNAcentral.
UACGUAGGUGGCAAGCGUUGUCCGGAUUUACUGGGCGUAAAGGAUGCGUAGGCGGACAUUUAAGUCAGAUGUGAAAUACCCGAGCUUAACUUGGGUGCUGCAUUUGAAACUGGGUGUCUAGAGUGCAGGAGAGGUAAGUGGAAUUCCUAGUGUAGCGGUGAAAUGCGUAGAGAUUAGGAAGAACACCAGUGGCGAAGGCGACUUACUGGACUGUAACUGACGCUGAGGCGCGAAAGCCAGGGGAGCAAACGGG